AGGGUGGAGCAGGCUCAAGGUCGGCUGCGGAGAUCCUGGCCUCAGCUUCCCAGCAGAGGGCUCUUCUGCAGAAAGUGAUCCCAGGAUAGGGGGCUGCCAAGGGAGUCAGGGAUUUGCACCCCAAACUUCAGGUGGUAUCUGAGCUCUGUGUGUCCUUCCUACCCACCUCUCAGGCGCUACUUACAUCUGAUAAACUCAAGUGGUGGACAGAACAGAGAGGGCCUCCUCCAAGGUGACUUGCUAAGUCCUCCCCUAAGGACGAAACAGAGAAGCUUCCUGCCCCUGUUACACAUGGCCUCCUCCCGAUCGGAGCCCCUCCAGGGUUGCCUCCUUUCUAUUCUGUAUCCUGAGGGCCCAGCAGCUCACCUGGACCAUGGAAAGCACAGAAAGAACUGGCUGAAUGAAUCAGGAGAUCAAGUGCUCUCCCUGAGGCCCUGUAACAGCUCUGCAUCUGACUGCCCAGAAGGAAGCAGAAGUGAGUGACAAGUUGGGGGAACCAGAGCUUGCACACCAUAGGCCUGAGCACUAGCCUCUGGGGAAAGGCAAGUCCAGCUGACCUUGGUGAAGUUAGGACCCGGGCCGAGGCCACCUCUUCUGGUUCACCCUCUGCUGGCCUCCCAGCUUCUUUGGCUCAGCAACACCCAGGAUUCCAGGCAUGUUUGCCUCUGGCCUUCUAAAAAUACCCAGGCCACCCAGCACCUCCCAGAUGUCUGAGCGCUGAGUCUGUGAUUUCCCUGCCGGUAAUGGGACAGCCCUGGGGUGGGCAGGCGGGGGUGGCUCAAGCAGCUCAAGCCACUCCCUCUGCCUCCCAUCCCCUAGCCUACCAGAAGCUGGACCCAGCCCUGCCUCCCAAUCCUUGCAAGGCAAAGGAGGGUAGAGGCUUGACCAUCUGAACUAGCAGACCUCAGAGAUUGUUGACUCCAGUCUCUUCUUGGGACAGAUGGGAGAUCUGAAGUCUAAGGAUUGCUCAUGGCACUUGUGCCAUUAAGGUCCUCCUCACCCCACUCCCCAGCACUGUGUUCAUGCCUGCUGCUGUCUCACUUCCCACAUGCUACUUGGAGUCUAGGUCUUAGAGCCCAACCUGACUUCCUCCAUGCAGCUGAAAGCUCCUGACAGCAGUGAAGGGGAGGAUCCCUGUGGUCUCCAUGGUGCCUGGAAGAGUGUCCAAUCCAGAGCACACCAUCAGUAAACAUAGAUUGGAUUGAACAAUGUAGUGGCAGCUGGGGCAAUGGGUGGAGCACUGGGCUGGAGGACAAAGCCUCUGAAAUCUAUCUAGCCCAGGGUCAGCCACUGUGAUACUAUGCAUCCUCAUCAAUUGCCCUGGAUAAACCUGUUUCCCCUGGGCUGGAUAGGAUGGUGUCUAAGGACUGAGCCAGCUCUGCUGACAUGAAGCUGCAAGCUGAUGCCCUGCUGGAUAUUCCUGUCCCUUCUCUGCUCCACUGUAUGUCUGGGAGAGAUGGCACAACCUGUAGGUUCCAUCAGCUCCAGGUUCUCAGCUUCUGCUCCUCCCUCCGUGCUUCUGAACAUUCCACCUCUGGUCCUAGCCCCUGAGGCCCAGCUCUUCCAAUAGUGCCACUUCCACCUCUGCUGCUGGGUACCCAGGGGUGAAUGCAUACCUACCUCGCUCACUAAUCAUGUGACCUUGGGUAAGGCAUUGCCCUUUUCUGGGCUUCAGUUUUAUCAUAUCUAAAAGGGAAUAAUAAGGCCUACCUUAAAGGAGUGCUAUGAGGAUGUAGGAGAUUCCAUAGCUCAGAUGUCAGGUUAUAUAUCACCUCCUGCAGAAAGUCUCCCCUGUCCUCCCAAGGAUGGCUCAGAUAGCAUUUGUUGCUGGCUCUUCAGUUCUGACCUUCCCAUGUUCACACUAUGUGGUCAUUGGCUCUCUAUGCAUCCAUCCCCCACCAAGCUGUGGGCUCCUCAAGGCCAGGAGUCUCCAGGACCCAGUACAGGACCUUUACAGAUGAAGUGCCUGGGAACGUUUUUUGACAGACACAGUGGGUGAGUAAAGCCUGAGAGAAAGGCAAGGGGUUGUGCAGAAGUCUGGGAGUCUGAGUAAGAAGUGGCCUGACUGACAGGGCAAGUUCUGGUGGUAUGAAUAUUGACAGCUGCUUGGAGCUCUUCCCCCAUUUCCCUGCUUGGUAAAUUCAUCCUUCAAGAUCCCAGGAGAGCAUCUCCUUCCCUGAGAAACCUGGUCACUCUCCCCUCUACCACAUUACACACUCCACUGUAGGUGUUCUUUACACACCUGUCUCCCUUCUCAGAUGUGAGUUCCCUGAAGGCAAGACCCUGUUGGAUCUCACAGCACCAAGCACUGGAUCUGGCCUGAGUUAGUCAAGGUUUUGGAGCAGAAGAAUGGAUGGAGGAAAUAAUUUCUGAAUCGAACUUGGAAUUGAACUGCCUGAACUUUAAUGCCCUUUCCAGCCUUAGGGAUGAUAAUGAAUUACCAAAGUGAGAAAAAUGGAGGCGCAAGCUGUUGUCAUCCUUCCAGAAGCACCCUCCAAGUGUGUGUGGGUGAAAUGUGAGCUGGAGAGAGGAUUGACAAAGAGCAGUGAAAACAUAUUCCUGGACCCCAUUCUUUUUUUUUUUUUUGAGAUGGAAUUUCCCUCUUGUCAUCCAGGCUGAAGUGCAAUAGCGCAAUCUUGGCUCACUGCAACCUCCACCUCCCAGGUUCAAGCGAUUCUCCUGCCUCAGCCUCCUGAGUAGCUGGGAUUACAGACACACACCACCACGCCCAGCUAAUUUUUGUAUUUUUAGUAGAGAUGGGGUUUCACCAUGUUGGCCAGGCUGGUCUCGAACUCCUGACCUCAGGUGAUCCACCUGCCUCGGCCUCCCAAAGUGCUGGGAUUACAGGCAUGAGCCACUGUGCCUGGCCUGAACCCCAUUUUUAUGUCUGGAUUUUUCUCUCUGUUGAAGAAUUGCUGCAGAAACCAUAUUCUAAGUAUAAAAGGCCUUUAGAUAUCUAAGAUGAUCCCCAGAACCUUGAUGUGAAUCCAUUUACUCAUACUUUACAUUCUCACUUUACACUUUGAGCAUGAAGCCCAUGGUGAUCUGGUUGUAAAAGGUUUAAAGGUUAAUUGGCAGCCAAUGUUGGGGGUGAGAAGUUGCUGCUGCAGGCAGGCAGGUAUUCACCAAGGCAGCAGAGAGAGGAGGCAUCUGCCAGGCUGGUAGAAAGGAAAUAGAAAAAGAAAACGGGACGAGAGCGGAGGCUCAGGCCUGUAAUCCCAGCACUAUGGGAGGCCAAGGCGGGCGGAUUGCUUGGUUGCAGUGAGCCAAGAUCGUGCACUACACUCCAGCCUGGGUGACAGGGCGAGACUCCAUCU
Molecule: long non-coding RNA, 3317 nt
Organism: Gorilla gorilla gorilla (western lowland gorilla)
Lineage: Eukaryota; Metazoa; Chordata; Mammalia; Primates; Hominidae
Exons: 3
Source: RefSeq, a predicted model, not a curated record